UGAAAUGCUUUCUCCUAGCAGUUGC
RNAcentral lists this non-coding RNA (25 nucleotides) under Rattus norvegicus (Norway rat). The record is from RNAcentral. Lineage: Eukaryota; Metazoa; Chordata; Mammalia; Rodentia; Muridae.